Alligator mississippiensis (American alligator) is the source of this 618-nucleotide long non-coding RNA. RefSeq lists it as uncharacterized. The record is from RefSeq and is a predicted model, not a curated record. The transcript has 3 exons. NCBI's taxonomy places the organism in Eukaryota, Metazoa, Chordata, Crocodylia, Alligatoridae.
CCACGGGCCCUUUGACUCGCCGAGCGGCGCAGGAGAGAGCUCCUGCGCAUGUGCGGGCUGCCCUCGCACCGAGGAAGGGCUGUAGGUUCACGGUCAGACCAAGUGGAUUCAAUUGUCUUCACUAGCAUCUCUUUACAUGACUUUUGUUGUGUUGCUCAUCAAAAUAGCCACAAAUUCUAGGUCCACCUACCUUGCUUCAUCUAACCCUUAACUCGUAAUGCCUAAUGCUAUAUUCAUCCUUUGGAACUUGUUUGUCCAGCUAAACAAUCACUAACAGCUUUUCCAGGUCAUUUGGAAUCUUGGCCCUACCCUCCAGAGUGUCUGCUACUCCAUCCAACUUGAUGUUAUCUCCAAAUUUCCUCAGCCUGGACUCAGCCCCAUUGUCCAAAUCAGGGCUGUCCAACUUCAAACCAGCCAUGGACAACAUGCCCCAUGGGCACCCCACCCACAGGCUCAUGUACAGGGGCGGGUGUUCCCCCACCUUAUUCUCCCACUCUGCACUGCACACACAGGCAUGAUAUAGCCACACCCAGACAAUAGUUCACAAUAGUGAUUUGUCAGUUACCUGCCUGAGCAGGAACAGAGUGACAGCAUCUGGUUCAAGCCUGAAAAAGAAUA